RNAcentral lists this ribosomal RNA (274 nucleotides) under uncultured bacterium. Its description in RNAcentral is "partial 16S ribosomal RNA". It matches the Rfam family "Bacterial small subunit ribosomal RNA", at positions 523 to 796 of the family's 1533-position model. The record is from RNAcentral.
AUACGGAGGGUGCAAGCGUUGUCCGGAUUUAUUGGGUUUAAAGGGUGCGUAGGUGGCCCAUUAAGUCAGUGGUGAAAUUCUACAGCUUAACUGUAGAACUGCCAUUGAAACUGGUGGGCUUGAGUAUCGUUGAGGCAGGCGGAAUUUAUGGUGUAGCGGUGAAAUGCAUAGAUACCAUAAAGAACACCGAUAGCGAAGGCAGCUUGCUUAGCGAUAACUGACACUAAUGCACGAAAGCGUGGGUAGCGAACAGGAUUAGAUACCCGGGUAGUCC